CCUACGGGAGGCAGCAGUGAGGAAUAUUGGUCAAUGGACGAGAGUCUGAACCAGCCAAGUAGCGUGAAGGAUGACUGCCCUAUGGGUUGUAAACUUCUUUUAUAAAGGAAUAAAACGAGGCACGUGUGCCUUUUUGCAUGUACUUUAUGAAUAAGGAUCGGCUAACUCCGUGCCAGCAGCCGCGGUAAUACGGAGGAUCCGAGCGUUAUCCGGAUUUAUUGGGUUUAAAGGGAGCGUAGAUGGUUUGUUAAGUCAGUUGUGAAAGGUUGCGGCUCAACCGUAAAAUUGCAAUUGAUACUGGCAGUCUUGAGUACAGUUGAGGUAGGCGGAAUUCGUGGUGUAGCGGUGAAAUGCUUAGAUAUCACGAAGAACCCCGAUUGCGAAGGCAGCUUACUAAACUGUGACUGACAUUGAUGCUCGAAAGUGUGGGUAUCAAACAGGAUUAGAUACCCCUGUAGUC
This 460-nucleotide ribosomal RNA is filed under the name uncultured bacterium. RNAcentral's name for it is "partial 16S ribosomal RNA". It matches the Rfam family "Bacterial small subunit ribosomal RNA", at positions 338 to 795 of the family's 1533-position model. The record is from RNAcentral.